Molecule: ribosomal RNA, 253 nt
Filed under: uncultured bacterium
Lineage: Bacteria
Description: partial 16S ribosomal RNA
Rfam family: Bacterial small subunit ribosomal RNA
Source: RNAcentral
UACGUAGGGUGCGAGCGUUAAUCGGAAUUACUGGGCGUAAAGCGUGCGCGGGCGGAUUGUUAAGCAAGAUGUGAAAUCCCCGGGCUUAACCUGGAAACUGCGUUUGUGACUGCAAGACUAGAGUACGGCAGAGGGGGGUAGAAUUCCACGUGUAGCAGUGAAAUGCGUAGAUAUGUGGAGGAAUACCGAUGGCGAAGACAGCCCCCUGGGUCGAUACUGACGCUCAUGCACGAAAGCGUGGGGAGCAAACAGG